UGGGAUUAAAGAGCCACCAUGCACAGGCU
This 29-nucleotide non-coding RNA is filed under the name Rattus norvegicus (Norway rat). Lineage: Eukaryota; Metazoa; Chordata; Mammalia; Rodentia; Muridae. The record is from RNAcentral.